AGGCGGUUAUUUCUGCGGUGGAUUUGCCUCUUCCUAUUCCGAAUACAGAAGAAAAACCCGAAAGGGCCGAUGUAGUUGUAAUACGAUCUAGGAGAAGUAGAAGGUCGCCCAUUU
Molecule: ribosomal RNA, 114 nt
Filed under: Bacteroides intestinalis
Lineage: Bacteria; Pseudomonadati; Bacteroidota; Bacteroidia; Bacteroidales; Bacteroidaceae
Source: RNAcentral